Molecule: long non-coding RNA, 559 nt
Organism: Aethina tumida (small hive beetle)
Lineage: Eukaryota; Metazoa; Arthropoda; Insecta; Coleoptera; Nitidulidae
Exons: 3
Source: RefSeq, a predicted model, not a curated record
AUGUUCUUGUUUUUGCUGUGAAUUCACUGAUUUAGAAAUAUUAUUUUUUACGUAAGCGAUCAUAGCGGGGAAUUACCACAUUUUAAACUAGAUAAAAAUAAAACAACAUAUAGUGUUUAUUAGAUGUAGAGAACUGCUUGUGAAUUGGUAGAAAAACCUGUAUGUUGAUACAAUAUUUAAAUCAGAAUAAUUUAUUCAAGAUAACAACUUGAGUAUAAAAUAGCAACACAUCCAACCACAUUUGUUAAAACAAAAUGUUGAAACUCUACUUAAUCACACUGACAAUUUUUCUAGCUAAGGCACAAUCGAAGCAAAAUGUGACAGAUAUUAUUCCAAAUCCUCCAUUUAUUUGUUUUGUGCCUUGUCCUUCCAAUUCUUGUUGCACAGAUGAAAUCUACAUUCCCAAUUACGAGAAAGAUGCUUGUGGCUGUACAGGUUCAUGCAUGAAAUGUCAAGAAUUUUGCAAUAGAGUUUUUUGUCCCGCCAAAGAUGAAGAUGUUCAUCCAGCUUUGAUCAGUUGCAAAUGUUGCGGAUAUUAAAAAAAAAACAUACUGUAUUA